GGCUGGACUGAAGGUAGUGAGUUCUCUCCACUAUUUGCCCGUGGUCAGUUACAGAUUGAACUCUUUCGUCCACUUCUCCCUUCUCCCUACUGCACUUUACUAGUCGUUA
RNAcentral lists this Y RNA (109 nucleotides) under Microcebus murinus (gray mouse lemur). RNAcentral's name for it is "Y RNA (ENSMICG00000021317.3)". It matches the Rfam family "Y RNA". From Rfam's summary of the family: Y RNAs are components of the Ro ribonucleoprotein particle (Ro RNP), in association with Ro60 and La proteins. The Y RNAs and Ro60 and La proteins are well conserved, but the function of the Ro RNP is not known. In humans the RNA component can be one of four small RNAs -- hY1, hY3, hY4 and hY5. The record is from RNAcentral. Lineage: Eukaryota; Metazoa; Chordata; Mammalia; Primates; Cheirogaleidae.